UACGAAGGGGGCUAGCGUUGUUCGGAAUUACUGGGCGUAAAGGGCGCGUAGGCGGUGUGUCAAGUCAGGCGUGAAAGCCCCGGGCUCAACCUGGGAACCGCGCUUGAGACUGGCACGCUAGAGUUCGGGAGAGGAUGGUGGAAUUCCCAGUGUAGAGGUGAAAUGCGUAGAUAUCGGGAGGAACACCUGUGGCGAAAGCGGCUCACUGGACCAUUACUGACGCUGAUGCUCGAAAGCUAGGGGAGCAAACAGG
This 253-nucleotide ribosomal RNA is filed under the name uncultured bacterium. RNAcentral describes it as "partial 16S ribosomal RNA". It matches the Rfam family "Bacterial small subunit ribosomal RNA", at positions 524 to 776 of the family's 1533-position model. The record is from RNAcentral.